UCGUAACAAGGUUUCCGUAGGUGAACCUGCGGAAGGAUCAUUACCGAGUGCGGGUCUUUAUGGCCCAACCUCCCACCCGUGACUAUUGUACCUUGUUGCUUCGGCGGGCCCGCCAGCGUUGCUGGCCGCCGGGGGGCGACUCGCCCCCGGGCCCGUGCCCGCCGGAGACCCCAACAUGAACCCUGUUCUGAAAGCUUGCAGUCUGAGUGUGAUUCUUUGCAAUCAGUUAAAACUUUCAACAAUGGAUCUCUUGGUUCCGGCAUCGAUGAAGAACGCAGCGAAAUGCGAUAACUAAUGUGAAUUGCAGAAUUCAGUGAAUCAUCGAGUCUUUGAACGCACAUUGCGCCCCCUGGUAUUCCGGGGGGCAUGCCUGUCCGAGCGUCAUUGCUGCCCUCAAGCCCGGCUUGUGUGUUGGGCCCUCGUCCCCCGGCUCCCGGGGGACGGGCCCGAAAGGCAGCGGCGGCACCGCGUCCGGUCCUCGAGCGUAUGGGGCUUCGUCUUCCGCUCCGUAGGCCCGGCCGGCGCCCGCCGACGCAUUUAUUUGCAACUUGUUUUUUUCCAGGUUGACCUCGGAUCAGGUAGGGAUACCCGCUGAACCUAAGCAUAUCAAUA
Molecule: unclassified non-coding RNA, 612 nt
Filed under: Aspergillus neoafricanus
Lineage: Eukaryota; Fungi; Ascomycota; Eurotiomycetes; Eurotiales; Aspergillaceae
Description: sequence contains 18S rRNA gene, ITS1, 5.8S rRNA gene, ITS2, 28S rRNA gene
Rfam family: 5.8S ribosomal RNA (bases 231-384)
Source: RNAcentral